Non-coding RNA from Macaca mulatta (Rhesus monkey), 2049 nucleotides. Lineage: Eukaryota; Metazoa; Chordata; Mammalia; Primates; Cercopithecidae. The record is from RefSeq and is a predicted model, not a curated record.
GACUGCACCAAUGCACUCCAGCCUAGGUGACAGUGAGAAUCUGUGUCAAUAAAUAAAUAAAUAAAGCAACAGGUAUUAAAUAUUCACAACAGAGAUUUCUGCCUCUCAGCAUGGGUGCAACUCUCAUCCCACUCAGGAUAACGGUGAUGGCUGAGGUACUGAACAUUGCUAAAAAACUGUGUGAAGGUAAAACAAAAGAGGUCUAUGAAUUGUUUGUUAAAUAGGCCAGGAAAAGUCCUCCUGCAGUCUAAGGGCCAGAUGACAGCAGGAAAUGCAGUCAGAAUCACCUGGAAGGAAAAGUUGCAACCUCAAAUAAAAUUACCAGUUGCAUUUUUCUGUUGUUACAGGAAGCAGGUAUUAAAACUGCUUUUAUCAGAAAAUGUGAGGAGACAGCUUUCAUUGUGCCCCAGUGUGAAAUAAUUCCAACUGAAUGGUUUGCGGAAGAAUAGCAACUGGUUCUUUACUCAAAAGAAAUCCUGGUGCCAAGAAAGGCUAUGAGUUUUACCCACCUAAAAUGGAGAUGUUUUUCAAGGAUGAUGCCAAUCAUGACCCACAGUGGUCUAGGGAACAGCUAACUGCAGCAAAAUUUGGCUUUGCUGCACUUGGUAUAAAACUGAAGUGGGUAUCCUGAGUCAUGCCACAUAGGUUGUUUUGAAAUACUGGAGACAUCCUGGUUGCCCCCUAGAACUGUACACUGGUUGAUAUGAAGAAUGAAUUUGGUGUUGAUGUGACCAGCAAAGAAAUUGUUCUCACUGAUGUUAUUGAUAAUGAUUCCUAGAGACAGUGACCAUCAGGAGAUCAAAGCCAAUCAAAAGAUAAACAGUCGUAUCAAGGCUUCAGUGUAACUCCUGAAGGGUUCCAAAUGGUACAGAAAAACUUUGCAUGGGUUGUAGAGAUUACAGUUGCUUUUGAAAUCAGAAAGUCAGUGCAGUGUUAUAGUACUGAUGGGUUCUACUUCUGACCUUAGUCACCAUGAAAAAAAUCAAGGCCUGUGGAAAUUUUGGCAUUCCAUGUGGACUUCGAGUAACAUCUGCACAUAAAGGACCAGAUGAAACUCUGAGGAUUAAAGCUGAGUAUGAAGGGGUGGGCAGUCGUACUGUAUUUGUGGCAGUGGCAGGCAGAAGCAAUGGUUUGGGAUCAGUGAUGUUUGGGAACACUGCACAUUCAGUUAUCUGCUGUCCUCCCCUCACACCAGACUGAGGAGUUCAGGAUAUGUGGUUUCCUCUUCAACUACCCAGUGGUCUCGGCUGUUCAACCAUACUUUCUCCAGAAGGAUCAGCUCAGUUUGCUGCUCAGAUCUUUGGAUUAAACAAUGACUUAUUAUGGGGCAAACUGCAAGCAAGCACUUUGAGCACAUGGAUUUCUUGGAAGAAAGGUGACCAGAAAAUCACAGAAAGAACAUCAUUGCAUUUUUUAGGGGGAAAACUACAAAUUUCUAAUUUAGCUGCAGAAAAAUCAAGCAAGAUGAAAAAAUUUUAAAUUAGAGAACACAAAUAAAAUGUACUAGAGAAUACAUGCUCCCCAAGAUCCAAACAAAAACUAUUCACGAUGUAAUUAAAACAGGUAAGUGCUGUGAAAAAUAGAAACAUGGUGACAUAGGAGGAGUCCGACAGGGGAACCUAACCGAGUCCUGAGAGUGUAAGCCAGCUUCCCCAAGGAAGUGACAUUUCAAGCGAGAUCUGAAGGACAGCAGUCUAUAAACCAAGUAGAGAAAGGCAGUGCUGAGGGCAGAGGGCACCUACAUGGGCAGAAGCUGGGAGCAAGAUGAGUACAGCAUGCCCCAAGUAAUCAGGAAGUGCCAGUGGCUGGAGUGCAGAGACAGCAGUGCAGUUUUAGCUAGAGAUGAGAGCAAGGGAGGCAAGGGCUGGAUCAUCCUGUCUCCUGUAGGCCACAGCAAGGUGUCUGGUCUUUAUGACAGAGGAAAGGCACUUAUUGAAGUGACAUUUUAAAAAAUUACUGACGGCCGGGCAUGGUGGCUCAUGCCUGUAAUCCCAGCACUUUGGGAGGCCACGGCAGGUGGAUCACUUGAGGUCAGGAGUGUGAGACCAG